This 1629-nucleotide long non-coding RNA is filed under the name Drosophila guanche. The record is from RNAcentral. Lineage: Eukaryota; Metazoa; Arthropoda; Insecta; Diptera; Drosophilidae.
AUCGAUUUUCCUGUUUUGUCGUUCAUUUCUGUACUGACAGUAGAAAUAUCCCCUUUUCCGUAUCGGUUUUCGCACUGAACUUUCAAUUCAUUUCCCUUAAGGGAGAGGAAGAGGGUCAGCAAGAUGCUUUGACUGUUGCCAUUCACGUCUUUCGCAAACUUAAUUGCCGUCGGAUUUUGUGGCUCAAUUUUCACACUUGCACUCCCCUUCCCACUUUCUGGGUGGUUUUUCUUCCCCUUGUCAUUCACUUAAUUUGAUUUUCAGCUUUGCUUUGGUUCGCUCUUUCUCUUUUAUUUUUUCGGUGUGGCGCUGUGAUUGAUUAUUGUCAUUGAUGGAAGACCUUUGAAGAACAGUCAGAGAGAGGGACAGGGAGACAGGGGCCUUUUUCCAAUGGCAUUUGUCUCCUUUGCUCUCUUUUGCUGAUUAUGCCAUCGCACGGUGGGCCCCAUUCCCCCGUUCUAUAGGAAAAACUAAUGCCCUGAAGCAAAAGUUUUGCUGGUGGGGCGACAGGAAAUGUGCGAGAUGUUAUCGGGCUUUGGGCCUGGAAGGUCCCCGCGGGGAUUAUUGAUUACAGGCUCAAAAACGAUUUGUGUUUAUUUCUCUCAGAGAAAAGCAGUUCCGGGAAGUACAUAAUCGCUUAAUUUAUUCAUAGGAAAGCGAAACGAAACGAAACCCUCGUGAGGAUUUCCAGCCAGCAAUCAGCAAAUUAAUUUAAAGAGUGUUUUAUUUUUUUGGGGAACAAAAAAAAUAAACGACAUCCGUUUCCCAUUGAACGAACGAAACGAAACAAAACGACCCGACCGACCGCAGACUGACUGACUCAUCCCACUGUGGCCUGCCCUAGAUCUCCGAAACGAGUCCAAGUCCAUUCCAUUCCAAGCAGAGAGAUAGCGAGAGAGACUAAAGCAGGAACUGACUGGCACCGUCCGCCUCUGUCGCAUUCGCACUCGCAACCACAGUCGAACUCUCUUAAGCGUAGAAAGCAACGCCAGAUUUCCUGAAUGGUGGUGCCAUCCCACUCGCAUGCCGAUUGCCAUCUCUAUUCAUUUAUUCAAUUCAUAUUAAAUUGCCCCAUAGAUUAGAAGAAAUUCCACCGAACGUAAUUAAAAUAUACUACAGAUCGUCUGCCGUGCUGUCGCAUGCUCAUGCUAUAAAGAGGGUAUCGCGAAGCAUUUCCGAAUGCUACGUAAUCAACAGCUGAAACUGUAUAGUUCAGGGAAAUUUAAUCUACAUAAAAUCAGAGAGUAAUUUCAGUUCCCAUGGUAACAAUAGUAAAAACUCUUUCUUAUGGGGAUCUCCUAGGGGAAAACUUGGAUCCCAGUUUGGAUUAAUAUUUGUAUCCCAGGGGAAUCAAAUCUGUCCAAGGGUAUUUUCAGCUUCGUUACCCAAAAGGUAGCCUCCAUCUCUUUCUUUCAUUUAUUUCCAUCAUCAUCUGUUGCUGCUGCUGCGUCUCUCCCUUCCUUUGCAAUCGUUUGCAUGCCAUUGAGCGAUUGAUUGAGUGAGUGCCCCCGUCCCCACACUCAACUGGCGAGGUCAUCGCCCAUUGUCGUCAUUCUCGCGACGCUCUCCCGUCGUUCCUCUUCCCGUGGCUGGACGGAUAGUCAGGUGGUGCUCGUCUGGAUUGUGUGG